AGUGUGGUGGCCGAAUUAAGGUGUUAGUCUCUUAAAUUAAUUAUGACAAAAUUA
This 54-nucleotide transfer RNA is filed under the name Cyclosa japonica. Its description in RNAcentral is "tRNA-Lys". Lineage: Eukaryota; Metazoa; Arthropoda; Arachnida; Araneae; Araneidae. The record is from RNAcentral.